Molecule: ribosomal RNA, 794 nt
Filed under: uncultured bacterium
Lineage: Bacteria
Description: bacterial SSU rRNA
Rfam family: Bacterial small subunit ribosomal RNA
Source: RNAcentral
AGAGUUUGAUCAUGGCUCAGAAUCAACGCUGGCGGCGUGCCUAACACAUGCAAGUCGCACGAGAAAGUGGAGCAAUCCAUGAGUAAAGCGGCGAACGGGUGAGGAAUACAUGGGUAACCUACCCUCGAGUGGGGAAUAACUAGCCGAAAGGUUAGCUAAUACCGCGUACGCUCCUUGGACUUCGGUUCAGGGAGGAAAGCGAUACCGUGGGUAUCGCGCUCUUGGAUGGGCUCAUGUCCUAUCAGCUUGUUGGUGAGGUAACGGCUCACCAAGGCUUCGACGGGUAGCUGGUCUGAGAGGACGAUCAGCCACACUGGCACUGCGACACGGGCCAGACUCCUACGGGAGGCAGCAGUAAGGAAUAUUGCGCAAUGGGCGAAAGCCUGACGCAGCGACGCCGCGUGGGGGAUGAAGGUCUUCGGAUUGUAAACCCCUUUCGGGAGGGAAGAUGGAACGAGCAAUCGUUCGGACGGUACCUCCAGAAGCAGCCACGGCUAACUUCGUGCCAGCAGCCGCGGUAAUACGAAGGUGGCAAGCGUUAUUCGGAUUUACUGGGCGUACAGGGAGCGUAGGCGGUUCGGUAAGCCCUCUGUGAAAUCUUCAGGCUUAACCUGGAAAAGUCGGAGGGGACUGCUGGGCUAGAGGACGGGAGAGGAGCGCGGAAUUCCCGGUGUAGCGGUGAAAUGCGUAGAGAUCGGGAGGAAGGCCGGUGGCGAAGGCGGCGCUCUGGAACGUUUCUGACGCUGAGGCUCGAAAGCGUGGGGAGCAAACAGGAUUAGAUACCCUAGUAGUCC